This 253-nucleotide ribosomal RNA is filed under the name uncultured bacterium. RNAcentral's name for it is "partial 16S ribosomal RNA". It matches the Rfam family "Bacterial small subunit ribosomal RNA", at positions 524 to 776 of the family's 1533-position model. The record is from RNAcentral.
UACGUAGGGGGCAAGCGUUGUCCGGAAUCAUUGGGCGUAAAGAGCGUGUAGGCGGCCCGAUAAGUCCGCCGUGAAAGUCCAGGGCUCAACCCUGGAAUGCCGGUGGAAACUGUCGGGCUGGAGUCCGGAAGAGGCGAGUGGAAUUCCUGGUGUAGCGGUGAAAUGCGCAGAUAUCAGGAGGAACACCAAUGGCGAAGGCAGCUCGCUGGGACGGUACUGACGCUGGAGACGCGAAAGCGUGGGAGCAAACAGG